UCAACCAACACUACUAGACGCGCCGACCG
This 29-nucleotide small RNA is filed under the name Bombyx mori (domestic silkworm). RNAcentral's name for it is "ovarian small RNA-24601". The record is from RNAcentral. Lineage: Eukaryota; Metazoa; Arthropoda; Insecta; Lepidoptera; Bombycidae.